This 1803-nucleotide long non-coding RNA is filed under the name Equus caballus (horse). RNAcentral's name for it is "lncRNA (ENSECAG00000037223.3)". The record is from RNAcentral. Lineage: Eukaryota; Metazoa; Chordata; Mammalia; Perissodactyla; Equidae.
CAGAAGGUGCCUUCCUGGUCCCUUACAGACAGUGAACGACUCAACUGUGUAUAUCACCAAAGAGUUCUUUCAGAUCAGAAGAGACAGAAUAAGCAGUAUCUGCCCAGGGAGCUGAGCAGAGGGCGUGUGUCAUGUGGGUGGAAGUUUGGAGCCGGAGUGGUGGCUGUUUGUUACUGAAAGAAAAAGGCCGAGCUCACAGACGCCGUGCUGGGGCCUGUACCAGCCACUGAGCAGAAAGGAUGCAGGGAUGGCACCACAGAGCAGGAAGAGGGGCAACUCUCAGGCAGCCGUGUGGGAGCUCUGGAGGCGCAGGCCUCAGGGCCAAGCGGUGGCAGGGAUCGCCCUCUUCUUGAAGUCAGUUUCUUCUCUGAGGUUGUUGGAGAAGCACUGGAAAGUAACCAGGGGAAAUUAAAAGCAAUUUUAUCUAGAGCCCUGGAGGCCAAGGGCUUCUGCGACAAGUCCUUGAACAUGGUGACCACGGGCACGUCUUCUCCUCAUGGUGGCAGGACUGCUUCCCAAAGCGAUUAAAGGGAAGCUGUGCUACACUGGAUUUGACACCAGCAUAGAGACUUCACCAAAGACCCAGAAAGCACCCUGCAGAGAGGAACUUCCCCUGGUCCCAGGCCCUUCUCCACUCUUCCCAGGGUGUUGGAUUGUUGAACUGGCCGAGAUUGGAGCCUUAGAUCCCAGAUGCUGAUGUUAACAGCAUCCAAGAAGACAGUGUGGAGAAAUAGUUCCUGAUGUAUCUCUCAGCACUCAAGGAACCGGAAAUUAAAUGCAAACCAUAUGGGUUCUGUGAAGAUAUUAUGUCACACAAGGCAAAAAAGAGGCAGAAGGAAAUAUUGUUCAUAAUAUUACUAUAAUAAACAGAAAAAAACUAUUUACCAGCACAUGCUUUGUACUCUCAAAACUCAAGGAAACAUGGAAAAAGGAGAAGAAAGAUGAAUAGUAAGAAAUUAGAAUUGAGAAGAGAACAGAUUGAGACCAAGCAGUAAUUACAAAUAAAUGAGAUAAGAAAAGAAUUUCAGCAUCAACAUUGUUUAACAGUGUCCUGAAUUUGGUUUGAAGCUCUGUGGCGGCUCAGAGAAAGGAGGCAUUGGCUGCUGGUGGAGCUGGUCAGACCAGUGGACGCUGAUACCUGGAGGAUGCAAAGAUACACAGCUGGGGCAGCCAACUGGAAAUGAACCCAACAGCAGGAGGCCAGAGGAAUAUGCAGGCCUGAAGGAGUCUAGAACAUCGUGGUGGUAGGUAGGUUGAGGCCGAGGCAAGCAGUAGCACACAGCAGGCAGCAUCAAGGAAUGACAAGAGGUACAUGAGUUUCCUAACACCCCACAGAGUUCAGCAACUGGGAAGUCAGCAGGAGGCCAUAUGCUGAGGUUUGAGGAGGGAGCGAGAGUCCCAGGGGCUAGCUAGUCAGUGGACCUCAAAUUUAAGCUUGGGGUUCAGGGAUAGAACCAUGAAAAGAAGCAGUGCGUUCAUCUCCAGAAGCCUGGAAUACUAUUCAGGAAUUCAGAAGAGGCAAGAUUGAUCAAGACCAGGUUAUAAGAAGUGGACUAGGAGGUUCCAAAAACUUGAUAUCAAGGAGCAAAGGGACAGUUUAGUUAUGCCAUGCAGAGGAGAAGACCAAACGUGACUCCUUAAAUCGUUCAAGACUUAGAAUUCAUGGUCGCAGAACACGAGCUGAGCCUAUGGGUGACAGCCAAGGGGCCAUGGCUGUGGGAAAAAGACAUGCAGGGACCAGGCGCCAAGGCAGUCAUUACAGAGUGGAAAGUUAACGCAUCCAUGAGACAUUUCCAACUAGCA